GGUGAGGUGUCCGAGUGGCUGAAGGAGCACGCCUGGAAAGCGUGUAUAGGCUAACCCCUAUCGAGGGUUCGAAUCCCUCUCUCACCGCCA
Molecule: transfer RNA, 90 nt
Filed under: Polaribacter sp.
Lineage: Bacteria; Pseudomonadati; Bacteroidota; Flavobacteriia; Flavobacteriales; Flavobacteriaceae
Also listed under: 1 other name
Description: tRNA-Ser
Rfam family: tRNA
About the family: Transfer RNA (tRNA) molecules are approximately 80 nucleotides in length. Their secondary structure includes four short double-helical elements and three loops (D, anti-codon, and T loops).
Source: RNAcentral